This 419-nucleotide ribosomal RNA is filed under the name Gastrocopta margaretae. Its description in RNAcentral is "partial 16S ribosomal RNA". It matches the Rfam family "Archaeal large subunit ribosomal RNA", at positions 1950 to 2666 of the family's 2987-position model. Lineage: Eukaryota; Metazoa; Mollusca; Gastropoda; Stylommatophora; Pupillidae. The record is from RNAcentral.
CCUGCCCUGUGAUUAUUUUAACGGCCGCAGUACUUUGACUGUGCUAAGGUAGCAUAAUAAAUUGGCUUUUAAUUGGGGUCGAGUAUGAAAGGGAGCAUGGGAAAAAUCUGUCUCCAUAAAAUUAUUUAAAACUUACUUAAUAGGUGAAAAUACCUAUAAUUAUUACUUAAGACGAGAAGACCCUUAGAAUUACAGCUAAUAUAAAUAAGAGGAUUUUUUUUGGCUUUUGUUGGGGCAACAUUGUUAGGAAAAUAACCAACAUUUUUAAAAAUUCUAUAUGACUUUUUUUAGCAGAAAAAUAUAAAUUACCUUAGGGAUAACAGCAUAAUUAUUUUUAUAGAUUGUGACCUCGAUGUUGGACUAGGGACUUUAAUUAUUAACCAUUAUUAAAGAAGGUUCUGUUCGAACUAUAAUAUCCU